This is a non-coding RNA of Podarcis lilfordi (Lilford's wall lizard), 73 nucleotides long. NCBI's taxonomy places the organism in Eukaryota, Metazoa, Chordata, Lepidosauria, Squamata, Lacertidae. The record is from the annotation of a GenBank genome assembly.
GAUCCUGGCUCAGUGGCAGAGCAUCUGCUUUGUGUGCAGAAAGUCCUCCCAGGUUCAAACCCCAGCGGCAUCU